Molecule: long non-coding RNA, 681 nt
Organism: Ornithodoros turicata
Lineage: Eukaryota; Metazoa; Arthropoda; Arachnida; Ixodida; Argasidae
Exons: 2
Source: RefSeq, a predicted model, not a curated record
UGUAGAGAAUGUCGUUUCACUUUCUUAAUUCAUUACUAUAGGUGUUUCUGGCAGAUAGUGCACCCUACUUGUUUAUUGGCCUGAUUCGAGUGAUAUUUGCGCCUUGCAUGAAACCAUAGCAUCGUACAUUACGGUUUUCUUUUCUCUUUCAGAAACAUCAAAACAUCUGCAAGUUGCGCAUACUGUGCGCAUAACUGUCAGUGGAAAAUCAGAGAAACCGAUUACUGGCGGCAAAGGCGAAUGCUGAUAUAUUUCUGUGUAGCAAUCACAUGGAUAUGCUGUUACUGCUGUGCUCGCAACUCUUGUGUUUCAUACUGCGAUGGAACUGGAGUCCUCAUCGGCCUUUCCCGCAAGAAGCGGAUGAAGUGUCGAUACUGUAACUACAGCUCCGAUUACAAGAACAACGUGCAGGUGCACGAAAGGAUCCAUACAGGCGAGCAGCCUUUCAAAUGUGGUAUUUGCCUGAAACCGUUUAGGCACAGCCAGUCAUUACGGACGCAUAUGCGGUAUCACACAGGAGAGAAACCUUUCAAGUGCAACAUGUGCCCCAAGAGUUACAUUCAGAAGACUAGCCUGUCUCAACACUUACUUUCUCACAGGAUGAUGGGGAAAGACUAGUGCCCUUGAAGAGCAUUAGUCAUGUGGUCCUUUGAGAACCUAAUAAACGCUUUCAGUUUGGAA